AUGACAGCCAUGCAAAACACAGUGGGUGCUGAGAGCAUGACGAGGAAGGCGCAGCCAUACCGCGGCCCUAAAAGGUCGCAGAUGGCACCCAUGGCAAGCCUGGAGAAGAUGGACCCAGACACAGAUGCCACACCGGCAUUCCCUAUGUCGGCCUUGGCGAGGUUGAGGUUGUCACGGAUGAUGGGCACGAGCGGCGCCGCGGCAAAGGUGGAGACGAAGCAGGUGAAGAAGGAGAUCCAGGAGAGGUGGAAGGUGCGCAUGUGGGGGUUGGCGAAGGAGAAGAGCCUGAAGGACUUGGCCUUGUGCUCGGAGUCCACGGGCAGCGUGAACUUGCUCGCCGCCGUGUCGCCAUGGGAGCUCGUCUCCACCUCCAUAUCUUCCUCUCCUCUCCUUGCCGAGCUAGGCUUCUUCUCUGCUAGCUCCUUGGAGCUAAGCUGA
This 438-nucleotide ribosomal RNA is filed under the name Triticum aestivum (bread wheat). Its description in RNAcentral is "partial small subunit ribosomal RNA". The record is from RNAcentral. Lineage: Eukaryota; Viridiplantae; Streptophyta; Magnoliopsida; Poales; Poaceae.